RNAcentral lists this ribosomal RNA (241 nucleotides) under uncultured bacterium. RNAcentral's name for it is "partial 16S ribosomal RNA". It matches the Rfam family "Bacterial small subunit ribosomal RNA", at positions 111 to 353 of the family's 1533-position model. The record is from RNAcentral.
UAAUGUCUGGGAAACUGCCUGAUGGAGGGGGAGUAACUACUGGAAACGGUAGCUAAUACCGCAUAACGUCGCAAGACCAAAGAGGGGGACCUUCGGGCCUCUUGCCAUCAGAUGUGCCCAGAUGGGAUUAGCUAGUAGGUGGGGUAACGGCUCACCUAGGCGACGAUCCCUAGCUGGUCUGAGAGGAUGACCAGCCACACUGGAACUGAGACACGGUCCAGACUCCUACGGGGGCAGCAUG